RNAcentral lists this small nuclear RNA (106 nucleotides) under Neotoma lepida (desert woodrat). Lineage: Eukaryota; Metazoa; Chordata; Mammalia; Rodentia; Cricetidae. The record is from RNAcentral.
GUGCUAGCUUCAGCAGCACAUGUACUAAAACUGGAACCAUACAGAGAAACUAGCAUGGCCCCUGCACAAGGAUGACACACACAUUUGUGAAGUUAUAACAUUUGGC